Molecule: ribosomal RNA, 784 nt
Filed under: uncultured bacterium
Lineage: Bacteria
Description: bacterial SSU rRNA
Rfam family: Bacterial small subunit ribosomal RNA
Source: RNAcentral
GCUGGCGGCAGGCCUAACACAUGCAAGUCGAACGGAGUUAUAUUGUAGCUUGCUAUGGUAUAACUUAGUGGCAGACGGGUGAGUAAUGUAUAGGAAUCUACCUAGUAGUACGGAAUAAUUGUUGGAAACGGCAACUAAUACCGUAUACGCCCUACGGGGGAAAAAUUUAUUGCUAUUAGAUGAGCCUAUAUUAGAUUAGCUAGUUGGUGGAGUAAUAGCCUACCAAGGCAAUGAUCUAUAGCUGAUCUGAGAGGAUGAUCAGCCACACUGGAACUGAGAUACGGUCCAGACUCCUACGGGAGGCAGCAGUGGGGAAUAUUGGACAAUGGGCGAAAGCCUGAUCCAGCCAUGCCGCAUGAGUGAAGAAGGCCUUUGGGUUGUAAAGCUCUUUUAGUGAGGAAGAUAAUGACGGUACUCACAGAAGAAGUCCUGGCUAACUCCGUGCCAGCAGCCGCGGUAAUACGGAGAGGGCUAGCGUUAUUCGGAAUUAUUGGGCGUAAAGGGCGCGUAGGCGGAUUAGUAAGUUAAAAGUGAAAUCCCAAGGCUCAACCUUGGAAUUGCUUUUAAAACUGCUAAUCUAGAGAUUGAAAGAGGAUAGAGGAAUUCCUAGUGUAGAGGUGAAAUUCGUAAAUAUUAGGAGGAACACCAGUGGCGAAGGCGUCUAUCUGGUUCAAAUCUGACGCUGAGGCGCGAAGGCGUGGGGAGCAAACAGGAUUAGAUACCCUGGUAGUCCACGCUGUAAACGAUGAAUGUUAAAUAUGGGAAGUUUUACUUUCUGUAUUAC